RNAcentral lists this long non-coding RNA (760 nucleotides) under Ficedula albicollis (Collared flycatcher). Its description in RNAcentral is "lncRNA (ENSFALG00000024304.1)". Lineage: Eukaryota; Metazoa; Chordata; Aves; Passeriformes; Muscicapidae. The record is from RNAcentral.
CCUAUUCCUCCUUUGUGAGUGGUUAUUUGAGUGGUCAGAUCACAGUUCCAACACUCCUAGGGUCUACUCUUACAGCACAUAGAAUUCAUACACUUCUUAGCUGCUGGUUUUGACUGCUGUUUUGUGCUGUAAGACAGCAAAAGAUUUGAACUGAAUUAAAAUUUUAGUGCUUUUAAAGUCUACACAGAUUAUUUCUAACUACUACUUCAUUGUGAGCAAAAUAUAGCAGAUCUUUUUGGUAAAAUGUGGAUCUUUUCUUUCUCAGAAUUGACAUCUGAGAAACGUGUUGGCAUUUCCGCUCCUCGGGGGGAUGAGGUUUACAAUAUGGGAGAAACUUGCUAGUCCAACAGCACAGAAUCUUAGAAUUAAAAAACCCAACACACUUAUAGUUCAAGAGGAAGCCAAUUGUUCCAGCAUUACAGCAUCCAGGACAGAACAUAUAUUGGCAUCAUAACUGCUUACGGUCAGUUGUACCUCUCAAGUCUCAAACACACUUCAGGGAUAUUUUAUGCUUAACUGAUGCAGCCUGUCCAAAGUCACUCUCUGGUCUAAAAAACAGCAUUUUCACAGAAGCUCUCACUGCAAUCCACAUACACUCAGAAGAUGUGGAAUCACUGCAAGGUAUGUGCCACUAACAAACAAGUGUCUAAUAAUGAAAAAACAUAUCAAUAAACAUACAGCCAACAACCUGCAGUUACUUAGUGAUAAUCAUUAUUUCACAAUAACCAAGGCUAUUUAACCCCCUGAGGGUUAAAGGUUG